AGCAUGGAGAUGGUCAGUAUAAUGAAUAGCCUUAAACUGAAGAAGAACUUGAGAGGCACUGUAAUCAAUCAACAACGUAGACGUCUUCACUGGCUCUUCCGGACUGAUUGGAAAAGAUUUAGAACGGUUUGCCGAAACAGUUCCUAAACCGAAAGGAGCUGUGCCCGGAUUUGGUCUACCGGGAUGGAAGAUGAUGCCUUUGGAGCAUAAGAUACCCAUGAUACCUGCUCCGAAGGGUGCUUACAAUUUCACACGACGGAAAGUAGGAAAGAAAUUAUGGGAACCGAAAUUGGAGUUUGAUUUAAGCGAUCCUUAUUGUCAUGAAGCUAAAUUCCCUUAUGAACCCCUGCACGACAAGCAUCUACUCGAGUUCUUCUCCAGACAGAUAAAUCUAAAAUCUUUACUGAAAGCCGACCUAAUUACAGACGACAUGGACGUAAAAUGUUCGUUGCGUGAUUACAAUACAUACAGAAAAUACUUAAGACAAGUACACGCUGAUCGUAUAAAGAGGGAAUUGAGAAAAAGAAACCGUUUGUUCGUUGAGAGGAGAGCUCUACAUUUCGCUGAAGACCAGGCGCGCAAGGAAACAGAAAGAUUGAAAGAAAGAGAGAAGUUGUCCAGCGAGAGACAACUUCUCGUGCAGCAACGAUUACUACAGGAAGAUUUAAAAAUUCGGAAGUUGAAAGAACGAGCAUUCAGAACAACUCAAAGAUUGAAAUUAUUAAAGCUUAUUAGGCAAGAGGAACAACGACUAAUAAACAUUAAACAUGAAGAGAAAAGCGAGCAGAUUCGGCAGAAAUGCAAAAUUGCGACGAAAAUUGCCCGACAUAAAGUGAUCGAUACACUGAUGGACUGGAAGAAGAAGGACAAGGCGCGAAAGAAAGGCAUGGAAAAGAGACUAAUAGAUAUUGAACAACAAAAGAAGAAGAACAUGGAAGAAAGAUGGAGGAAAAAGCAGCAGUUCCAAGAAGAAGAUAUUGCGAAACAAGAAAUGUUGUUACAGUGCAUAGACGCACGCCGUCAAAGAUUCAUAGAGGCUUACAAUAACAAAAUAAAUGAAGAAGCUACCAAAAUGAAAAGACUUUUGGACAACGCAAAACUAUUUACAAAUUGUUACAUGAAAAGGCAUCUACUAGGUGGGAGAAAAGUCAUUUGCUGCAAAAAAUACUUUAAAAACAAUACGAACAAAAAUAUGAAGAAAAAAUAACUCACAAAAUUCGAUGAAUUCUUCAUCAAAAUCCAUAAAACGAAAGAAAUACAAAGUAUGAAGAUUAACGCAAGUGGUGCCAGAACGUAACACAAAAAUUGAAAUAGCAGACUAAAACAAUAUGGACCAAUCGUUAGUGAAAACAGAUUAGUAAAAAAAAUAAAUUUUUUAAAUAUUCAUUGCGAAACAAAAUUUAAAUAAAAAUUGUGUCAACGAAAACAGGAAUAGUCAAUGCUAUGUGCAAAAUCAAUAUUAGAAAACAAAUGUCACGUAAAGAAUAAUAAACAAUAUAUAAUACGUAAAAUUUUAUUAAAAAUACUGGAAAGUACAUUGAGUUAUGGGCAAAAUAUUUAGCAAUGUUACGUAAAAAUAAUACAAAAUAAGAAUUAUUAUAUUUA
Molecule: unclassified non-coding RNA, 1605 nt
Filed under: Monomorium pharaonis (pharaoh ant)
Lineage: Eukaryota; Metazoa; Arthropoda; Insecta; Hymenoptera; Formicidae
Description: fibrous sheath-interacting protein 2, transcript variant X2
Source: RNAcentral